Molecule: long non-coding RNA, 1242 nt
Filed under: Arachis ipaensis
Lineage: Eukaryota; Viridiplantae; Streptophyta; Magnoliopsida; Fabales; Fabaceae
Description: long non-coding RNA (AIPA_LNC001738)
Source: RNAcentral
CGACAUAUUUCGGCCAAAAAUUGAGUGCUCACUCGUCACAAAUCAGUACAGUACUGCAUAUCACACGUCGACUGCCGUCUGCACUUCGCCUUGGUACGUUGAUAUCUGAUGAAUUAUGAAGGCGGAGCUUUAAUUUGAAACAAUACUUGACUUGUCACCCGUGUGACCUCACAUGAUCAUAGAUUAUAGGCAGAAAGUAAUAAUGCAUUUGUCAGAUUAAUCUGCUUGUAUUACAUCAUCUGGGUAUCGUUUUUGUAUCAAUCAUUCCCAACCGAAUCUUAGUCUCAUGCUAUAGACAUAUAAAGCUAACAUAAAAAAUCAGGGAACGAAUCGCGUAACGUGUAUGGAUUCCUAAAAUCUAGGGUGCGACAGGGUUAAUUGUAUCCUAAAUUCAGUAAAUUGUAUUGCGUUGCAUGGUUCAUCACUUCAUUGAUUUCAUCUCAUCCUACUAUAAACAAAGCCAAUUGCUGUAUUCAUUUGAUGUAUUUCAGAGUUAAGUGCUAUAUACAAACUUGAGAACUAUAUAAUCAUCUAGGUUGAACCUACAUCCCAGAACCACCCUUGGCACCCUGUUCUCUUCCCAAUUUAUUUAUUUUCCUGUUUUACACCAAGUCUAACACCUCAUACUCAGAUACAAAUUAUUAUAACAUCAUACGAACAUUUUACACCAAAAGACUACAUGCUGGUAUUUACAUUUUGUAUCACAAAUUUAAGUAGAAAAUUAAACAUCAAAAUCAUAAUACAAUAAAGGUGUGAUGUUCAGUUAAAAAAAACUAUUUAUUUAUUUAUUUAUUUCUAACAUAGGACUUACCAAAAUUUAAUUUUCAUUGAAUAAUUUUCUAAGCACCGAAAAUCACAGUAAUCUAUAUCUACAGGAUAACAACUUAGAAACCCUAGAUACUAUUUACUGCUGGGGCACCCAAGUAUCAAACAUCACAGGUACUUGGUAAAAUUUUCAGUCUGUUCUUUCCCUUGAUUUUGUACAAGAUACACCAAAGUUCACAUAAUUAUACUGGUUAGAUCCUACAUUCUUAGUGUCAGUUUUCCUAAAACUACUGCUGCUCCUACUUGUAUCUAAUUUCCUAUGCUCUACAGAUGUAUACUCAGGAUUGAAAAGAAAAGCACCUUCUCUCCUUUCAAGAUCCAGAGGUCGGCCCCUGUACAAAAGACCAUCUUUCUGUAUUCUUGGACUGGCGGGAGGUGGCCGCAGCACAGCUGUAUCUGGUAAAACUGAGUCGUGCG